Molecule: long non-coding RNA, 118 nt
Organism: Alosa sapidissima (American shad)
Lineage: Eukaryota; Metazoa; Chordata; Actinopteri; Clupeiformes; Clupeidae
Exons: 3
Source: RefSeq, a predicted model, not a curated record
UACAAGUGGCAAAAGUAACUUGCAUUAUUACUCAUUGCCAGAGUGUCUCGCAGAGACAAUUGAAAUUGUGCUCUUGCAAGAACUCUGGAGUUUCCAGGGUAAUCAGUGACCCGAGAAA